UACGGAGGGUGCAAGCGUUAAUCGGAAUUACUGGGCGUAAAGCGCACGCAGGCGGCUUGUUAAGUCGGAUGUGAAAGCCCCGGGCUCAACCUGGGAAUGGCAUCUGAUACUGGGAAGCUAGAGUAUGUGAGAGGGGGGUAGAAUUCCAAGUGUAGCGGUGAAAUGCGUAGAGAUUUGGAGGAAUACCAGUGGCGAAGGCGGCCCCCUGGCACAAUACUGACGCUCAGGUGCGAAAGCGUGGGGAGCAAACAGG
Molecule: ribosomal RNA, 253 nt
Filed under: uncultured microorganism
Description: partial 16S ribosomal RNA
Rfam family: Bacterial small subunit ribosomal RNA
Source: RNAcentral